Molecule: ribosomal RNA, 510 nt
Filed under: uncultured bacterium
Lineage: Bacteria
Description: partial 16S ribosomal RNA
Rfam family: Bacterial small subunit ribosomal RNA
Source: RNAcentral
GACGAACGCUGGCGGCGUGCUUAACACAUGCAAGUCGAACGAAGAGCGAUGGAAGCUUGCUUCUAUCAAUCUUAGUGGCGAACGGGUGAGUAACGCGUAAUCAACCUGCCCUUCAGAGGGGGACAACAGUUGGAAACGACUGCUAAUACCGCAUACGAUCUAAUCUCGGCAUCGAGGAUAGAUGAAAGGUGGCCUCUACAUGUAAGCUAUCACUGAAGGAGGGGAUUGCGUCUGAUUAGCUAGUUGGAGGGGUAACGGCCCACCAAGGCGAUGAUCAGUAGCCGGUCUGAGAGGAUGAACGGCCACAUUGGGACUGAGACACGGCCCAGACUCCUACGGGAGGCAGCAGUGGGGAAUCUUCCGCAAUGGACGAAAGUCUGACGGAGCAGCGCCGCGUGAGUGAUGACGGCCUUCGGGUUGUAAAGCUCUGUUAAUCGGGACGAAAGGCCUUCUUGCGAAUAGGGAGAAGGAUUGACGGUACCGGAAUAGAAAGCCACGGCUAACUACGUG